UGAAGCUGGAAUCGCUAGUAAUCGCGAAUCAGAAUGUCGCGGUGAAUACGUUCCCAGGUCUUGUACACACCGCCCGUCACACCAUGGGAGUCAGUAACGCCCGAAGCCGGUGACCCAACCAAACCUGGAGGGAGCCGUCGAAGGCGGGACGGAUGACUGGGGUGAAGUCGUAACAAGGUACC
This 182-nucleotide ribosomal RNA is filed under the name uncultured bacterium. RNAcentral's name for it is "partial 16S ribosomal RNA". It matches the Rfam family "Bacterial small subunit ribosomal RNA", at positions 1321 to 1500 of the family's 1533-position model. The record is from RNAcentral.